RNAcentral lists this ribozyme (77 nucleotides) under Crocodylus porosus (Australian saltwater crocodile). RNAcentral describes it as "Mammalian CPEB3 ribozyme (ENSCPRG00005003497.1)". It matches the Rfam family "Mammalian CPEB3 ribozyme". Rfam says of the family: The mammalian CPEB3 ribozyme is a self cleaving RNA located in the second intron of the CPEB3 gene which belongs to a family of genes regulating messenger RNA polyadenylation. This ribozyme is highly conserved and found only in mammals. Lineage: Eukaryota; Metazoa; Chordata; Crocodylia; Crocodylidae. The record is from Rfam by way of RNAcentral.
GGUUGCAAGUUUGAGGCCAUAGCAGAAGCAUUCAUGGUGCGGCCCUGUCGGAUACCUAUGGAUCUGUGAAUUCUGCU